GUUGGGGAUUUGUGGGGAAGGGGCCAAGGCUCCCGUUGGAUGCAGUUGGGGAUUUGUGGGGAAGGGGGCCAAGGCCCAGGUGGGAUGCAGUUGGGGAUUUGUGGGGAAGGGGCCAAGGCCCAGGUGGGAUGCAGUUGGGGAUUUGUGGGGAAGGGGCCAAGGCCCAGGUGGGAUGCAGUUGGGGAUUUGUGGGGAAGGGGCCAAGGCCCAGGUGGGAUGCAGUUGGGGAUUUGUGGGGAAGGGGGCCAAGGCCCAGGUGGGAUGCAGUUGGGGAUUUGUGGGGAAGGGGGCCAAGGCCCAGGUGGGAUGCAGUGGGGAUUUGUGGGGAAGGGGGCCAAGGCCCAGGUGGGAUGCAGUUGGGGAUUUGUGGGGAAGGGGGCCAAGGCCCAGGUGGGAUACAGUUGGGGAUUGGAAGUAGAAAAGCACCAAAAAGAAAAAAAGGGUGGGGGGAAUAAGAGACAGGAACAACUGUGCUGGGGGCUAGAGAGAUAAAGGGCAGUUCCCCUUCAGCCCACCUGCCACUAAGUGCUAUGUUAUUCUCUUGGAAACAAUAGAAAUGGUAUAAGAUCAUUUGCAGAGUCAGGUGCCAAACAAUAAUUAGAAAGGCAGAAAAGCCUUUUCCUGGGGGUGAAAGUGGGAAAGAGAAUAAGGGAAAGAAAGAAGGCAGGAAAUUGGUUGAGACAUAUUUCAACAAUCUCAAAUUUGAAGAAAAAUGUCCCUCAGAAGGCACUCUGAUAAGCAGCUAUUGGUCUCCACUCCAGCUCAAUGGCCAUCCCAGCUAUCCCUGAUGACCUCCAGUGAGAACCCUUCCCCCCCAGGCAUAGGCCCAUCCCAAUUUCACGCGGCUCUGGCUUUUAGGAAAGUGAAACUUCCUUUGCCCUUGACCUCUCAAAUAGCCCUGGGAAAGGUAGCCCAGGAAGGCCCUUCCUCUGCCUAAGGACUGCAGAAAAUUUACUGGAAGGGGGCAAGCAGAAAGGACAAAAAGCUGCGGCCUCUGUGGCCUUGGAGGGAGUGACAAUGGAAAGGGGCUCUGAGAUUCUAGAACAGAAGUCAAAUGUCAAGGGGAAGAUGGGAGGGCAGAAAUUAUACCCCAACCAGUGACAAUCUUGCUCAAGGAAGGCCGGCCCCCAGGACCCCACGGAGCUGGCGCUCCCCAAGCCAAUCUGAAUGUGCAGUUUGUGUUUUUGCUUGGGGGGGGGGAGAGGCUCCU
Molecule: long non-coding RNA, 1210 nt
Organism: Antechinus flavipes (yellow-footed antechinus)
Lineage: Eukaryota; Metazoa; Chordata; Mammalia; Dasyuromorphia; Dasyuridae
Exons: 4
Source: RefSeq, a predicted model, not a curated record